Molecule: ribosomal RNA, 1011 nt
Filed under: Salmonella enterica subsp. houtenae
Lineage: Bacteria; Pseudomonadati; Pseudomonadota; Gammaproteobacteria; Enterobacterales; Enterobacteriaceae
Description: partial 23S ribosomal RNA
Rfam family: Bacterial large subunit ribosomal RNA
Source: RNAcentral
GGGACCAUCCUCCAAGGCUAAAUACUCCUGACUGACCGAUAGUGAACCAGUACCGUGAGGGAAAGGCGAAAAGAACCCCGGCGAGGGGAGUGAAACAGAACCUGAAACCGUGUACGUACAAGCAGUGGGAGCCCCACCACCAAAGCGUUUCGCUUUGCGUGGUGCGCAAAAUGCGUAACGACAGCACGAUUACGAUUAACGGAGCGUAAGCGACGUUCAACACAAAAAUCAGGCAGUGGAGCGUUUUGGGGUGGGGUGACUGCGUACCUUUUGUAUAAUGGGUCAGCGACUUAUAUUCUGUAGCAAGGUUAACCGCAUAGGGGAGCCGGAGGGAAACCGAGUCUUAAUUGGGCGUUAAGUUGCAGGGUAUAGACCCGAAACCCGGUGAUCUAGCCAUGGGCAGGUUGAAGGUUGGGUAACACUAACUGGAGGACCGAACCGACUAAUGUUGAAAAAUUAGCGGAUGACCUGUGGCUGGGGGUGAAAGGCCAAUCAAACCGGGAGAUAGCUGGUUCUCCCCGAAAGCUAUUUAGGUAGCGCCUCGUGAAUUCAUCUCCGGGGGUAGAGCACUGUUUCGGCCAGGGGGCCAUCCCGGCUUACCAAUCCGAUGCAAACUGCGAAUACCGGAGAAUGUUAUCACGGGAGACACACGGCGGGUGCUAACGUCCGUCGUGAAGAGGGAAACAACCCAGACCGCCAGCUAAGGUCCCAAAGUCAUGGUUAAGUGGGAAACGAUGUGGGAAGGCCCAGACAGCCAGGAUGUUGGCUUAGAAGCAGCCAUCAUUUAAAGAAAGCGUAAUAGCUCACUGGUCGAGUCGGCCUGCGCGGAAGAUGUAACGGGGCUAAACCAUGCACCGAAGCUGCGGCAGCGAACGUAUCACCCAAGACAACUUUGCACAGUUGACGAUUGACGGAGCGAAGCGACGUCAAAGCGUUUUACAACGUCGAGUUGGCUUAGGGAUACGUUCGUUGGGUAGGGGAGCGUUCUGUAAGCCGUUGAAGGUGGCCUGU